UACGGGGGGGGCAAGCGUUGUUCGGAAUUACUGGGCGUAAAGGGCUCGUAGGUGGUCAACUAAGUCGGACGUGAAAUCCCUCGGCUUAACCGGGGAACUGCGUCCGAUACUGGAUGACUUGAGUUCGGGAGAGGGAUGCGGAAUUCCAGGUGUAGCGGUGAAAUGCGUAGAUAUCUGGAGGAACACCGGUGGCGAAGGCGGCUACCUGGCCCAACAUUGACGCUGAGACCCGAAAGCGUGGGGAUCAAACAGG
RNAcentral lists this ribosomal RNA (253 nucleotides) under uncultured bacterium. RNAcentral describes it as "partial 16S ribosomal RNA". It matches the Rfam family "Bacterial small subunit ribosomal RNA", at positions 524 to 776 of the family's 1533-position model. The record is from RNAcentral.